This 602-nucleotide ribosomal RNA is filed under the name fungal endophyte. Its description in RNAcentral is "eukaryotic LSU rRNA". The stretch from base 179 to 332 matches the Rfam family "5.8S ribosomal RNA". The record is from RNAcentral. Lineage: Eukaryota; Fungi.
UAAAGAGUUCUAUAACUCCCAAACCCAUGUGAACAUACCUAACGUUGCCUCGGCAGGUCGCACCUACCUUGUAGCACCCUACCCUGUAGGGCCUACCCGGGAGGUGCGGGUAAGCCUGCCGGCGGCCCACCAAACUCUGUUUGAUAUUGAAUUCUGAACCUAUAACUAAAUAAGUUAAAACUUUCAACAACGGAUCUCUUGGUUCUGGCAUCGAUGAAGAACGCAGCGAAAUGCGAUAAGUAAUGUGAAUUGCAGAAUUCAGUGAAUCAUCGAAUCUUUGAACGCAUAUUGCGCCCAUUAGUAUUCUAGUGGGCAGGACCGUUCGAGCGUCAUUUCAACCCUUAAGCCUUCGUUGCUUAGUGUUGGGAGCCUACGGCAACGUAGCUCCUCAAAGUUAGUGGCGGAGUUGGUUCACACUCUAGACGUAGUAAUUUUUUAUCUCGCCUAUUAGUUGGACUAAUCCCCUGCCGUAAAACCCCCAAUUUAUCAAGGUUGACCUCGAAUCGGUUCAGAUAAACUCGCUAAAUUGAAGCAUCUUAGUCAGCGAAGGAAAAGAAACCAACAGGGAUUGCCCUAGUAACGGCGAGUGAAGCGGCAACAGC